This 87-nucleotide transfer RNA is filed under the name Gemmatimonadales bacterium. RNAcentral's name for it is "tRNA-Leu". It matches the Rfam family "tRNA". From Rfam's summary of the family: Transfer RNA (tRNA) molecules are approximately 80 nucleotides in length. Lineage: Bacteria; Pseudomonadati; Gemmatimonadota; Gemmatimonadia; Gemmatimonadales. The record is from RNAcentral.
GUGGGCGUGGCGGAACAGGUCUACGCGCUGGUCUCAAAAACCAGUGCCCUUCGGGGCUUGUGGGUUCGAGUCCCACCGCCCACACCA